GAUGAACGCUGGCGGCGUGCCUAAUACAUGCAAGUCGAGCGAACGGACGAGAAGCUUGCUUCUCUGAUGUUAGCGGCGGACGGGUGAGUAACACGUGGAUAACCUACCUAUAAGACUGGGAUAACUUCGGGAAACCGUAGCUAAUACCGGAUAAUAUUUUGAACCGCAUGGUUCAAAAGUGAAAGACGGUCUUGCUGUCACUUAUAGAUGGAUCCGCGCUGCAUUAGCUAGUUGGUAAGGUAACGGCUUACCAAGGCAACGAUGCAUAGCCGACCUGAGAGGGUGAUCAGCCACACUGGAACUGAGACACGGUCCAGACUCCUACGGGAGGCAGCAGUAGGGAAUCUUCCGCAAUGGGCGAAAGCCUGACGGAGCAACGCCGCGUGAGUGAUGAAGGUCUUCGGAUCGUAAAACUCUGUUAUUAGGGGAGAACAUAUGUGUAAGUAACUGUGCACAUCUUGACGGUACCUAAUCAGAAAGCCACGGCUAACUACGUG
RNAcentral lists this ribosomal RNA (497 nucleotides) under uncultured bacterium. RNAcentral describes it as "partial 16S ribosomal RNA". It matches the Rfam family "Bacterial small subunit ribosomal RNA", at positions 28 to 507 of the family's 1533-position model. The record is from RNAcentral.